AGGAGUCUAACAUGUAUGCGAGUAGGCGGGUGUAAAACCCUACUGCGCAAUGAAAGUAAUAGGUGGGAUCCGCAAGGUGCACCAUCGACCGAUCAUGCUUCCUCUCGAGAAAGAUUUGAGUUAGAGCAUAAAUGUUAGGACCCGAAAGAUGGUGAACUAUGCCUGAGUAGGGCGAAGCCAGGGGAAACUCUGAUGGAGGCUCGAAGCGAUUCUGACGUGCAAAUCGAUCGUCAAAUUUGGGUAUAGGGGCGAAAGACUAAUCGAACCAUCUAGUAGCUGGUUCCCUC
Molecule: unclassified non-coding RNA, 287 nt
Filed under: uncultured fungus
Lineage: Eukaryota; Fungi
Description: partial contains 5.8S rRNA, ITS2 and 28S rRNA
Rfam family: Eukaryotic large subunit ribosomal RNA
Source: RNAcentral